RNAcentral lists this ribosomal RNA (208 nucleotides) under uncultured bacterium. Its description in RNAcentral is "partial 16S ribosomal RNA". It matches the Rfam family "Bacterial small subunit ribosomal RNA", at positions 328 to 544 of the family's 1533-position model. The record is from RNAcentral.
ACGCUCGACACCUACGGGAGCAGCAGUGGGGAAUAUUGGGCAAUGGGCGCAAGCCUGACCCAGCAACGCCGCGUGAAGGAAGAAGGCCCUCGGGUUGUAAACUUCUUUUGACAGGGACGAAGAAAAUGACGGUACCUGUCGAAUAAGCCACGGCUAACUACGUCGCACAGCCGCCGGUAAGUACUUGAGGCGGGCGUGGCGAAGGACG